AGGUCAUUGCUAUUGGAGUCCGAUUUAGCCAUGCUAGUUGCACGAGUUUGUACUCGUAGCAGAUAGCUCAGUAACACGUGGCCAAACUACCCUAUGGAUCCGGACAACCUCGGGAAACUGAGGCUAAUCCGGAAUACGACUCUCAGCCUGGAAGUGGCGAGAGUCAGAAACGCCCCGGCGCCAUAGGAUGUGGCUGCGGCCGAUUAGGUAGACGGUGGGGUAACGGCCCACCGUGCCCAUAAUCGGUACGGGUUGUGAGAGCAAGAGCCCGGAGACGGUAUCUGAGACAAGAUACCGGGCCCUACGGGGCGCAGCAGGCGCGAAACCUUUACACUGCACGAAAGUGCGAUAAGGGGACUCCAAGUGCGAGGGCAUAUAGUCCUCGCUUUUCACUGCCGUAAGGUGGUAGUAGAAUAAGUGCUGGGCAAGACCGGUGCCAGCCGCCGCGGUAAUACCGGCAGCACGAGUGAUGACCGCUCUUAUUGGGCC
This 489-nucleotide ribosomal RNA is filed under the name uncultured archaeon. RNAcentral describes it as "bacterial SSU rRNA". It matches the Rfam family "Archaeal small subunit ribosomal RNA", at positions 21 to 510 of the family's 1478-position model. The record is from RNAcentral.